GGGCGCAUAGCUCAGCUGGGAGAGCACCUGCCUUACAAGCAGGGGGUCACAGGUUCGAGCCCUGUUGCGCCCACCA
Molecule: transfer RNA, 76 nt
Filed under: Clostridium beijerinckii
Lineage: Bacteria; Bacillati; Bacillota; Clostridia; Eubacteriales; Clostridiaceae
Also listed under: 12 other names
Description: tRNA-Val
Rfam family: tRNA
About the family: Transfer RNA (tRNA) molecules are approximately 80 nucleotides in length. Their secondary structure includes four short double-helical elements and three loops (D, anti-codon, and T loops).
Source: RNAcentral